This 253-nucleotide ribosomal RNA is filed under the name uncultured bacterium. RNAcentral's name for it is "partial 16S ribosomal RNA". It matches the Rfam family "Bacterial small subunit ribosomal RNA", at positions 524 to 776 of the family's 1533-position model. The record is from RNAcentral.
UACGUAGGCAGCGAGCGUUGUUCGGAGUUACUGGGCGUAAAGGGUGCGUAGGCGGUUGUUUAAGUUUGGUGUGAAAUCUCCCGGCUCAACUGGGAGGGUGCGCCGAAUACUGAAUGACUAGAGUGCGGGAGAGGAUAGUGGAAUUCCUGGUGUAGCGGUGAAAUGCGUAGAUAUCGAGAGGAACACCUGCGGCGAAGGCGGGUAGCUGGGCCGACACUGACGCUGAUGCGCGAAAGCCAGGGGAGCGAACGGG